ACUCCUACGGGAGGCAGCAGUGGGGAAUAUUGCACAAUGGGCGCAAGCCUGAUGCAGCCAUGCCGCGUGUAUGAAGAAGGCCUUCGGGUUGUAAAGUACUUUCAGCAGUGAGGAAGGUUCAUACGUUAAUAGCGUAUGGAUUUGACGUUAGCUGCAGAAGAAGCACCGGCUAACUCCGUGCCAGCAGCCGCGGUAAUACGGAGGGUGCGAGCGUUAAUCGGAAUUACUGGGCGUAAAGCGCAUGCAGGUGGUUUGUUAAGUCAGAUGUGAAAGCCCGGGGCUCAACCUCGGAAUUGCAUUUGAAACUGGCAGACUAGAGUACUGUAGAGGGGGGUAGAAUUUCAGGUGUAGCGGUGAAAUGCGUAGAGAUCUGAAGGAAUACCGGUGGCGAAGGCGGCCCCCUGGACAGAUACUGACGCUCAGAUGCGAAAGCGUGGGGAGCAAACAGGAUUAGAUACCCUGGUAGCACAGAG
RNAcentral lists this ribosomal RNA (473 nucleotides) under uncultured bacterium. Its description in RNAcentral is "bacterial SSU rRNA". It matches the Rfam family "Bacterial small subunit ribosomal RNA", at positions 335 to 799 of the family's 1533-position model. The record is from RNAcentral.